GACAACUCUUAGCGGUGGA
RNAcentral lists this ribosomal RNA (19 nucleotides) under Pangasianodon hypophthalmus (striped catfish). RNAcentral's name for it is "partial 5.8S ribosomal RNA". Lineage: Eukaryota; Metazoa; Chordata; Actinopteri; Siluriformes; Pangasiidae. The record is from RNAcentral.